Molecule: ribosomal RNA, 395 nt
Filed under: uncultured bacterium
Lineage: Bacteria
Description: bacterial SSU rRNA
Rfam family: Bacterial small subunit ribosomal RNA
Source: RNAcentral
GUGCCAGCAGCCGCGGUAAUACGUAGGAUGCAAGCGUUGUCCGGAAUUAUUGGGCGUAAAGAGUUCGUAGGCGGUUGCCUAAGUCUGUUGUUAAAGGCCUGAGCUCAACUCGGGUAUGGCAAUGGAUACUGGGCGGCUAGAGUGUGGUAGAGGUCACGGGAAUUCCAGGUGUAGCGGUGAAAUGCGUAGAUAUCUGGAGGAACACCAGUGGCGAAAGCGCGUGACUGGGCCACAACUGACGCUGAGGAACGAAAGCCAGGGUAGCGAAAGGGAUUAGAUACCCCUGUAGUCCUGGCCGUAAACGAUGGAUACUAGGUGUAGGAGGAUUCGACCCCUUCUGUGCCGUAGCUAACGCGAUAAGUAUCCCGCCUGGGGAGUACGGCCGCAAGGCUGAA